AGGGUUAGGAGUACGGUUAGGGUAGGGGUAGGGUUGAGUUAGGGGUAGGGUUGGGUUAGGAGCAGUGUUAUGGUAGGGUUAGGAGUAAGUUUAGGGUUAGGAAUAUGGUUAGGGUAGGGUUAGAAGUAGGGUUACCCUAACCCUACCCUAACCACUAAUCCUACCCCUAACCCUUCCCCAACCAUUAAACCUACCCCUAACCGUAACCCUACCCCAACCCUUAACCCUAACCCUACCCCCAACCCU
Molecule: non-coding RNA, 246 nt
Organism: Pelobates cultripes (western spadefoot toad)
Lineage: Eukaryota; Metazoa; Chordata; Amphibia; Anura; Pelobatidae
Source: the annotation of a GenBank genome assembly